GACCGAAGCAAAGAAACCUAUAAGUUAUAUAGCAAGCAGGUGGUGUUUGUGAAAGUAUAACCACCAUCCUUUGGUCCACGUUGUACAGAUGAUCCAUAAAUCGAAUAAUUUGAGUUGUACAGCGCUCAGCACUUGUCAGUUUUCUAAACUCAGUAGAGUUGCAAAGGCCAUUCUUUACUGCUAAACUGAUAACUUAUAGCUUUAAAUCCAAAAAGUAGUUUCUAUUGCAUGUUCAUUAUUCAAUUAAUUUGCUAGUAAAUUUGCUGUAAUUUUAUAGCGGUGAUCCAUGAUCGUAGGUCUUGCCUUGCUGUCAUUUAACCGAUAAAGCUCUUAGAAGAAAACUGAAUUCGAAAGGGGUAAUUGAUUGAAUUGAAAUGCUGAGAAUUACAGAAUUUAGAAAUGAAUACAAGACUCCACUCUCUCUCAAUAUUUGCCUCCUCUUUCUAUUUAUAAUACCUGUUCUAACCAACUCUGCCUAGUCACCUCCACUAUAACAACUUCUGUUAUUUUUCCCUCCAACAGCUCCUACUUCUGAAUUCUUCUAGAAUAAGUCAAUCGUAUAGGAGGCCCAUCAUUAACAUAGAAUUUCCGUAAAUAGAGAAGAUGGCUGUGCAAAUGAAAGGAUCCGUUAGCCAGAUAUCUAAGCAUCAUCAGAGUAGAACAAUACUCUUGACUUGCCCCCCAGGGCACUUCCAAGUUGGCAGAAUAAUCACAUUGGGGGGCUCUGAAACCAAGCGUGGGGAGUUCGAUUCCUGGUGGGAACCUUUGAUCCAAUAAAGGAGGAAUUAUUGGUGGAUUAAUCACCAUGGAGGAGGCUCUCUUUGGGGAAGGAGUAAAAGCCAUGUGGGAACCUGGGAACCAACAAGGGCACAUCCUGCGAUUUACCUCCCUGAGCAGCUGAGGGGUCGGAGGUUCAGGGACGAGGAUAUAGUCUGGCGCAAGCUGGGACACCUCGUUAAAAAAAAAAAAAAAAAAAAAAUACUCUUGACUCAAUUUGAUGUGAUAUGACGUGGCCCUGUGACAUAUGAAAGUGAGCUAACAUUUCACCAUUCCAAUAGGUGGAAGAGAGAUUGAACAGGGUACAAGUAUGUACUAGAUUUAAGCUUCUGUUAAAUCUAUU
RNAcentral lists this long non-coding RNA (1120 nucleotides) under Olea europaea subsp. europaea. Lineage: Eukaryota; Viridiplantae; Streptophyta; Magnoliopsida; Lamiales; Oleaceae. The record is from RNAcentral.